Molecule: long non-coding RNA, 1163 nt
Organism: Homo sapiens (human)
Lineage: Eukaryota; Metazoa; Chordata; Mammalia; Primates; Hominidae
Source: Ensembl
CAUGUGCCUUAGACUAGCUUGGCCAGAGUGAUUGUAAAGGCUUCCAUGUUUAAAUUUCCAUGCAAGGGGGAGACCCACUUAUUCUCAUGCAGGGAAGAGAACUACGUAUCCCCGUGCGUAAUUCCCAUGCAACAGGAAGUAUCUGUUUGCCAGGCAGAAAGCGCCUGUAGCUACUGGUCUCUUUCUGCAGCCCUGCCAAACACAAGCAGCAAUAAACCAAUGGCCAUUGGCUUAAAAAGCUUUGUAUUCAAAUUACAACUCUUUGGUGUUUGUCACGUGCUUCCUUGGGAGAUGAAAGUUUGUGUUCAAGGCUCACUAACAGGGAACACAAUCUGUUCAGUUUGUCCAACAAUAUUCACCGUUCCAUUUUGUGUCAGCCUCAAGAUACACUGUAAACCUCUCAGAAACCUGCCCAGUUUCUCCAUCAGUCCUUUGAAUUUUCUUUCUUAGCCCUUCAUGCUGAGCACAGCUUGAGGUCAGUGGCUGAGACUGGCCAGCAAGCACCGCGUUAAGGACACAGGCUGAUCACAAGAGCUAACCUGUCAUGGUUCCACAGCAUCGUGCCUUCCCCUGGUGGCCUCCGAAGCUCAUGCAAGUUUGCAGGAAGAGACAUUCAGAGUGAAAUACGGCCUGAAAAGCCACUCCAAGUUGUAUUAUUUAUGAAACACAACACUCAACACAAGAAGAAACCCAAUACAGCACAUCAUUCUGCCUGCUCCGUGGCUUCUGCUUCUCAAGCGACUUAAAAUGAUUGUCUCACUUUGUCUCCCAGGCUGGAGUGCAGUGGCGUGAUCUCGGCUCACUGCAACCCCCACCUCCCUGGUUCAAGUAAUUCUCCUGCCUCAGCCCCCCGAGUAGCUGAGAUUACAGGAUCCUCUCUCUGGGAGCCCUCAUCUACCUCCAGCUGCAAUCAUCACCACAGGAGUGAGAGAGAGACUUGGACCUGAGCUGGACCCUCCAGCCCUCCUUCGCUGAACUACCUUCCAACCUUAUGUUCCUACUGAUGUUUACCAGGUUAUUCAAUAAAUAUUGUAUGUUCUGUGGCAGUGGCCACCAGUCAUUUUCAAAUACCUGUUUUCCCUUCUUCCUUACCAAAAACACCCAUGGUUUUUAGCUGGACACCUGGUUGCCCAAAAUAAACACUGCAUUUGCAGCCUCCCUUG